Molecule: long non-coding RNA, 998 nt
Filed under: Anas platyrhynchos platyrhynchos (common mallard)
Lineage: Eukaryota; Metazoa; Chordata; Aves; Anseriformes; Anatidae
Description: lncRNA (ENSAPLG00000026280.1)
Source: RNAcentral
UCCCCAAGCCCCCAUGUAACGUCCCCAAGUCCCCAUGUGAUGUCCCCAAGCACCCACAAAAUAUCCCAAAGAACCCCCCCAACAUCCCCAAGCCCCCCCCACAACGUCCCCAAGUCCCCCCCCAAACGUCCCCGCGCCCCCACCUGGCGAGCAGCAGGCGCAGGACGUCGUGGGGCUGGGUGAAGGCACGGAAGGUGGCGAGGAAGGUGGGGACGAAGGCUCCGUCCCCGCGGGCGGGGGCCUCCAGCAGGUGCCGCACCAGGCGGGGCAGGGGGGCGGCGCGCAGCAGGCGGGCGGGGGGCGCCCCGGGCCGGGGGGCCAGGGUGAAGACGGCGUCGUCCUCGCGCACCUCCGCCUGGGGGGGGUCCUCGUCGGGGGGGCAGGGCCGGUAGGAGCUGAGCACCACCCCCGGCUCCUGGCCCAGGGGGGGCCGGGCCCCCUCCAGCAGCGCCCGCAGCGCCCGCGGGAGCAUGGGGCGCCCCACGGCUCCGACCCACGGCUCCGACCCACGGCGUGGUCAGCCCCACGGCACGGGCAUGGCGGGGGGGGGGGGCCUGGGCGAGAGGGGGGGCCCUCAGCACCCACUGGCUGCCCCACAGCAUCCCAGUGGUGCUCCCAGUGCUGCCCCACAGCAUCCCAGUGGUGCUCCCAGUGCUGUCCCAUAGCAUCCCAGUGCUCCCAGUGCUGCCCCCCAGUGCUCCCAGUGCCUCCCUGCAGCUCCCUCUCGAGCCUCCACCCCCGGUCCCUGCGCCCAGUACCCCCAGUACCCCCAGUCCCGUACUCCCAGUCCCAGCCCCCCGUGCUCCCCCAGUCCCUGCUCCCAGUAACCCCGUCCCUCACCCCCAGUGCUCCCAGUACCUCCCAGUGCCUGCUUCCAGUCUCCCCAUUCCUCUUCCCAGCAACACCGCUUCCUGUUCCCAGCGCUCCCAGUCCCCGCUCCCAGUCCCCGUCCCCUCAGCCCCCUGCUCCCAGUGCUCCCAGUUCUCCCAGUCCAAGCU